Molecule: long non-coding RNA, 213 nt
Filed under: Vitis vinifera (wine grape)
Lineage: Eukaryota; Viridiplantae; Streptophyta; Magnoliopsida; Vitales; Vitaceae
Description: long non-coding RNA (VVIN_LNC007058)
Source: RNAcentral
AAAAAAAAAAAAGUAAGAGAUGACUCCUUUAUUUAUAAAAUUAAUUUUUCACAAACAAAAAGCGAGUCUUGCCAUCGAGUGGUAACAUAUGUGAAAAAGUGGGAUCACACCUAUCUCUCUUUCCAUAGUUCAUUUAUUCAUUUGGAGACCCUUGGAAAGUGAUUGGAGGUCGUUCCCCAACUUAGAACGGAUUUUGAUACCCUUGGUACAUCC